GCAUUUGUUCUAAGUUGAAUUUUUAACUUUAGAAGAGGAGGAAGUUUCAUUCUAGUUUCAUUGUUUAAUUAUAAUUUUUAUCCUUUUUCCCUCUCUGAUGGAUGGUCAAAGAGAAACCUUGAAAAAGACAAAGGUAGGCUUAUACUUAUACACUUAGUAGUUGUUACCCAAAUCAUCUCUGCUGCCCGAAAUUGCAAUAAUUCAAGCCAUCUUUGACAUGUUUAUUUAUUUAUUUGUUUUUAUUUUUUU
This 249-nucleotide long non-coding RNA is filed under the name Citrus maxima (pomelo). Its description in RNAcentral is "long non-coding RNA (CMAX_LNC002958)". Lineage: Eukaryota; Viridiplantae; Streptophyta; Magnoliopsida; Sapindales; Rutaceae. The record is from RNAcentral.